RNAcentral lists this ribosomal RNA (253 nucleotides) under uncultured bacterium. RNAcentral describes it as "partial 16S ribosomal RNA". It matches the Rfam family "Bacterial small subunit ribosomal RNA", at positions 524 to 776 of the family's 1533-position model. The record is from RNAcentral.
UACGAAGGGGGCUAGCGUUGCUCGGAAUCACUGGGCGUAAAGGGUGCGUAGGCGGGUCUUUAAGUCAGGGGUGAAAUCCUGGAGCUCAACUCCAGAACUGCCUUUGAUACUGAAGAUCUUGAGUUCGGGAGAGGUGAGUGGAACCGCGAGUGUAGAGGUGAAAUUCGUAGAUAUUCGCAAGAACACCAGUGGCGAAGGCGGCGACCUGGUCCGAUACUGACGCUGAGGCGCGAAAGCGUGGGGAGCAAACAGG